This 429-nucleotide ribosomal RNA is filed under the name Chloroflexota bacterium. RNAcentral's name for it is "Chloroflexi bacterium partial 16S ribosomal RNA". It matches the Rfam family "Bacterial small subunit ribosomal RNA", at positions 355 to 776 of the family's 1533-position model. Lineage: Bacteria; Bacillati; Chloroflexota. The record is from RNAcentral.
UGGGGAAUAUUGCACAAUGGGCGCAAGCCUGAUGCAGCCAUGCCGCGUGUAUGAAGAAGGCCUUCGGGUUGUAAAGUACCUUCAGUUGGGAGGAAGGUGGUAAGGUUAAUAACCUUAUCAAUUGACGUUACCGACAGAAGAAGCACCGGCUAACUCCGUGCCAGCAGCCGCGGUAAUACGGAGGGUGCAAGCGUUAAUCGGAAUUACUGGGCGUAAAGCGCACGCAGGCGGUUGAUUGAGUCAGAUGUGAAAUCCCCGGGCUUAACCCGGGAAUGGCAUCUGGUACUGGUCAGCUGGAGUCUUGUAGAGGGGGGUAGAAUUCCAUGUGUAGCGGUGAAAUGCGUAGAGAUGUGGAGGACUACCGGUGGCGAAGGCGGCGCUCUGGUCUGUAACUAACGCUGAGGCUCGAAAGCGUGGGGAGCAAACAGG